GGUAAGUUAGCUCAGCAGGUUAGAGCACGGUGCUGGUAAUGCUGAGGUCAUCAGUUCAAUCCCAAUACUGGUCA
Molecule: non-coding RNA, 74 nt
Organism: Poecilia formosa (Amazon molly)
Lineage: Eukaryota; Metazoa; Chordata; Actinopteri; Cyprinodontiformes; Poeciliidae
Source: Rfam